CCGUGAUCCGGGUUGCGGACAGUGUCUGGUGGGUAGUUUGACUGGGGCGGUCUCCUCCUAAAGAGUAACGGAGGAGCACGAAGGUUGGCUAAUCCUGGUCGGACAUCAGGAGGUUAGUGCAAUGGCAUAAGCCAGCUUGACUGCGAGCGUGACGGCGCGAGCAGGUGCGAAAGCAGGUCAUAGUGAUCCGGUGGUUCUGAAUGGAAGGGCCAUCGCUCAACGGAUAAAAGGUACUCCGGGGAUAACAGGCUGAUACCGCCCAAGAGUUCAUAUCGACGGCGGUGUUUGGCACCUCGAUGUCGGCUCAUCACAUCCUGGGGCUGAAGUAGGUCCCAAGGGUAUGGCUGUUCGCCAUUUAAAGUGGUACGCGAGCUGGGUUUAGAACGUCGUGAGACAGUUCGGUCCCUAUCUGCCGUGGGCGCUGGAGAACUGAGGGGGGCUGCUCCUAGUACGAGAGGACCGGAGUGGACGCAUCACUGGUGUUCGGGUUGUCAUGCCAAUGGCACUGCCCGGUAGCUAAAUGCGGAAGAGAUAAGUGCUGAAAGCAUCUAAGCACGAAACUUGCCCCGAGAUGAGUUCUCCCUGAGACUUUAGGUCUCCUGAAGGAACGUUGAAGACGACGACGUUGAUAGGCCGGGUGUGUAAGCGCAGCGAUGCGUUGAGCUAACCGGUACUAAUGAACCGUGAGGCUUAACCUUACAACGCCGAAG
Molecule: ribosomal RNA, 710 nt
Filed under: Salmonella enterica subsp. enterica serovar Braenderup
Lineage: Bacteria; Pseudomonadati; Pseudomonadota; Gammaproteobacteria; Enterobacterales; Enterobacteriaceae
Description: partial 23S ribosomal RNA
Rfam family: Bacterial large subunit ribosomal RNA
Source: RNAcentral